GGGUAGGUGCCCGAGUGGCUAAAGGGGAUGGACUGUAAAUCCAUUGGCUCCGGCCUACGGUGGUUCGAAACCACCCCUGCCCA
Molecule: transfer RNA, 83 nt
Filed under: Chitinispirillales bacterium
Lineage: Bacteria; Pseudomonadati; Fibrobacterota; Chitinispirillia; Chitinispirillales
Description: tRNA-Tyr
Rfam family: tRNA
About the family: Transfer RNA (tRNA) molecules are approximately 80 nucleotides in length. Their secondary structure includes four short double-helical elements and three loops (D, anti-codon, and T loops). Further hydrogen bonds mediate the characteristic L-shaped molecular structure. tRNAs have two regions of fundamental functional importance: the anti-codon, which is responsible for specific mRNA codon recognition, and the 3' end, to which the tRNAs corresponding amino acid is attached (by aminoacyl-tRNA synthetases). tRNAs cope with the degeneracy of the genetic code in two manners: having more than one tRNA (with a specific anti-codon) for a particular amino acid; and 'wobble' base-pairing, i.e. permitting non-standard base-pairing at the 3rd anti-codon position.
Source: RNAcentral